Molecule: transfer RNA, 32 nt
Filed under: Riccardia multifida
Lineage: Eukaryota; Viridiplantae; Streptophyta; Jungermanniopsida; Metzgeriales; Aneuraceae
Also listed under: 14 other names
Description: partial tRNA-His
Source: RNAcentral
AGGGCGGACGUAGCCAAGUGGAUUAAGGCAGC